CUACGGGACGCAGCAGUGGGGAAUAUUGCACAAUGGGCGAAAGCCUGAUGCAGCAACGCCGCGUGAGGGACGACGGCCUUCGGGUUGUAAACCUCUUUUAGCAGGGAAGAAGCGAAAGUGACGGUACCUGCAGAAAAAGCACCGGCUAACUACGUGCCAGCAGCCGCGGUAAUACGUAGGGUGCAAGCGUUGUCCGGAAUUAUUGGGCGUAAAGAGCUCGUAGGCGGUUUGUCGCGUCUGCUGUGAAAAUCCGAGGCUCAACCUCGGACCUGCGGUGGGUACGGGCAAACUAGAGUGCGGUAGGGGAGAUUGGAAUUCCGGGUGUAGCGGUGGAAUGCGCAGAUAUCAGGAGGAACACCAAUGGCGAAGGCAGAUCUCUGGGCCGUAACUGACGCUGAGGAGCGAAAGCGUGAGGAGCGAACAGGAUUAGAUACCCGCGUAGUC
This 444-nucleotide ribosomal RNA is filed under the name uncultured bacterium. RNAcentral describes it as "partial 16S ribosomal RNA". It matches the Rfam family "Bacterial small subunit ribosomal RNA", at positions 339 to 795 of the family's 1533-position model. The record is from RNAcentral.